UCGCCUGUUUUAUCAAAAACAUAGCCUUUAGCAACACAAGUAUUAAAGGUCCCGCCUGCCCAGUGAAAUUUAUUUUUAACGGCCGCGGUAUUCUAACCGUGCAAAGGUAGCGUAAUCACUUGUCUUCUAAAUAAAGACUAGUAUGAACGGCUAAAUGAGGGUAAGACUGUCUCUUAUAAUUAAUCAGUGAAACUGACCUUCCAGUACAAACGCUGGAAUAAGCACAUAAGACGAGAAGACCCCGUGGAGCUUAAAACUAAUCACUAACACAUUAUUACCCUAGUGCACUGUUUUCAGUUGGGGCGACUUCGGAAUAAAACAAAACUUCCGAGCACAGAACCACCACUUCCUACUAAGGCCAACAAGCCCAAGUACAACCUGACCCGGCUCCAAUGCCGAUCAACGAACCAAGUUACCCCGGGGAUAACAGCGCUAUCUUCUUCAAGAGUCCCUAUCAACAAGAAGGUUUACGACCUCGAUGUUGGAUCAGGACACCCAAAUGGUGCAGCCGCUAUUAAAGGUUCGUUUGUUCAACGAUUAACAGUCCUACGUGAUCUGAGUUC
This 563-nucleotide ribosomal RNA is filed under the name Trachylepis affinis (Senegal mabuya). RNAcentral describes it as "partial 16S ribosomal RNA". It matches the Rfam family "Bacterial large subunit ribosomal RNA", at positions 1796 to 2612 of the family's 2925-position model. The record is from RNAcentral. Lineage: Eukaryota; Metazoa; Chordata; Lepidosauria; Squamata; Scincidae.